RNAcentral lists this long non-coding RNA (1214 nucleotides) under Homo sapiens (human). RNAcentral describes it as "non-protein coding lnc-FOXO6-1:5". Lineage: Eukaryota; Metazoa; Chordata; Mammalia; Primates; Hominidae. The record is from RNAcentral.
CCCUUUGUUCAGGUCUCUUCUGAAGAAAGGCACCAGAGGCUCCAGCUCUGGCCAUAAUGCCCCAGAUGAAGCUUGACAGGAGAACUGGACACAACAGGCCAGACGGAGUUUCACCAUGUUGGCCAGGAUGGUCUCUGUCUCUUGACCUCGUGAUCCGCCCGCCUUGGACUUCCAGAGUGCUGGGAUUACAGGCAUGAGCCACCACGCCCAGCCUUGUUUUUGUAUAUUUUGUAGAGACAGGUCUUACUAUGUUGCCCAGGUUUGUCUUGGAGCUCCACUCCAAGGUGGAGCUCAAGCGAUCCACCUGCCUCAGCCUCCCAAAGUGCUGGGAUUACAGAUGUGAGCCACCAUGCCCAGCCUUCAUGGGUUUCCCUAGGAUCACCAGCUGUCAUGGACUGAUUUGUGUCUCUCCAAAUUCAUAUGUUGAAUACUUAACCUGCCAUGCGAUUGUGAUUGGAGAUAAUUCCUUUAGGGAAGCAAUGAAGGUUAAAUGAGGUCAUAGGUGGGAGCUUAAUCCAAUGGGACUGGGGUCCCUACAAGAAGAGGAAGACACCAGAGCUCUCUGUCUCCACACACAGAGAAAAGAGGCUGUAUGAGGACACAAGAGAAGGUAAUAGCUGUCUACAAACCAAGAAGAGAAGCCUCUCCAGAAAAUGAACCCUGCUGGAACUUGGUCUUGGACUUUCCAGCCUCCAGAACUGGGAGAAAAUAAAGUUCAAAAUAAAGUUCUGUUGUGUAAGCCCCCGAGUCCAUGGUAUUUUGUUAUGGCAGCCCUAGCAGACUAAUAACACCUGCUAAUUAAACUGCUUGUUCUCCACUUGUUGUCUCAGGGUCUGUUCCUAGGGAACCUGGACUCAGACAGAUGCUCUGCUUAAUUAGACCCCAGGGAAAUGUAAAUGAAAACCACGUGUGAUGCCAUGUCACAAGUACUAGGAUAACCAGAAGGAAAUCUGACCACAUCGGAUGCUGGUGAGGUUGGGAAGCUGUCAUAUUUAGCUGACGGAGGUGUGAGUCGGCAAACCACUUUGGAAAACUGUUUGUCAGUAUGAAAUAAAGCUAAAGCUAUGUAAACUAUAUGGCCUAGCAACUUCGCUAAUAGGUACGCCUCAGCAGAAAUACAUACAGACGUUCACCAAAAGACAGGUGCAAAAAUAUUCGAAGUAGCACUCUUUGGGGUAACUCCAAAUUGGAAGCAGCCCAACUUCCAUCAGCAG